This is a non-coding RNA of Oryza glumipatula, 207 nucleotides long. Lineage: Eukaryota; Viridiplantae; Streptophyta; Magnoliopsida; Poales; Poaceae. The record is from Rfam.
AAAAAAACAAGUCCUACAUUUUCGUGUCCAACGUUUGACCAUCCGUCUUAUUUGAAAAAAUUAUAAAAAAAAUUAAAAAGACAAGUCACGCAUAAAGUAUUAAUCAUGUUUUAUUAUCUAACAACAAUGAAAACAUUAAUUAUAAAACAAUUUCAUAUAAGACGGACAGUCAAACGUUGGACACGAAAACUCAGGGUUUGUCUUUUU